Molecule: long non-coding RNA, 319 nt
Filed under: Homo sapiens (human)
Lineage: Eukaryota; Metazoa; Chordata; Mammalia; Primates; Hominidae
Description: non-protein coding ZNF503-AS2:24
Source: RNAcentral
GGAGAGACGCCCUUCCACCUCUGGGAGCCUCGGUCUGUUGGGGUCGCGGAGUUCGGGCGCGGCUCCGGGUACCCGAGACCAGCGGCGGCAACUUCUAACACGGGAGAUUUCCCGCCACCCCACCCCGCCGCCGCGAGUCCUCGCGGGGCGUGUUGCGUGCGGAGGUCAGGCUGCCACCCUCUGUAGUUCCCUAACCCCAAACUCGGAGACUUCUAAGAGCCACACCACCAAGGAACUUCUAGUCCUGGAGGUCAAUGGUGGGGCAAACCUCGCCUCAAUUCUUUGACCCCCUCGGGUCGUAAGCAGGGCUAAGAGGCUG